Molecule: long non-coding RNA, 797 nt
Organism: Scophthalmus maximus (turbot)
Lineage: Eukaryota; Metazoa; Chordata; Actinopteri; Pleuronectiformes; Scophthalmidae
Exons: 4
Source: RefSeq, a predicted model, not a curated record
GAACUUUGACCUUUUCUAUCUGUCUGCGUGCUGACGAGCUGAUAUUGCGCUGUACUGUGGCUGUUUUGUGAUCCGACUCCUGUGAUGUGGUCACACAUCACUCUGUGUUGCCUUGAGGUUGUCUGAUUAAGUCGGGAACCAAAAUAUAUGAAACAAACCUUGUGUGGAGGACGCCGUGAUAUAAAAGUUAUCUCAAGUUUGAGCUGAAGCUGACAUUCUCUCCUUGGUCGGUCGACCUCCUGGAACCCGUGGAAGCCACCCAGAGGUCAGAUAGCCAUUUUGCUGAUGAAACAUUUCCUGGUACAGUAUCUCUGCCCUCGGCCUGUGAAAGGUGUCCCCUAAAUAGGAAACCAGUCAAACUUCAUGACGAGCAGCGCCAACAGACGGGAAAUAGAGGAAGUUGAACGAGUUGAGGCGGCGCAUUUCGUGCUGCCGAACCGCCGAGUCAUCAAAACUGCCCGAGUGACGGACUGCUGACGAGAACUUUUGGAACACGUCGGUGCUGGUCAGGAUCAGGGUCCUGGGCUGGAGCACAGGGGACGGGGCUAAGCCAGAAGAAGAGGAGGAGGAGGCUUGACUGGACAGACUAUUGGGCAUCUGGACCUGGACGAAAGGAACAAAAGGCAGAAAGAGAGAAUAUAUAUCAUCUUACUUCAGGAAGAAGAAACUCAAACCUGGAAAACCAGCAGGUAGAGAAGGACGUUGAAGGAGCGUGACGUCGACGUCGCCGCCGCGCUGGCCGGAGUCUUCCGUUCUGCCACGAUGAAGGUCAGGUCGCCCAUCUCCUCUUCGCUGGG